Molecule: long non-coding RNA, 299 nt
Organism: Dermochelys coriacea (leatherback sea turtle)
Lineage: Eukaryota; Metazoa; Chordata; Testudines; Dermochelyidae
Exons: 4
Source: RefSeq, a predicted model, not a curated record
AGGAGCAGCAUGUUCAGGAGGAAAAGAAAAGAGAACUGGGUAGCAGAUGCCCUGUCCAGAAAAGAGGGAUUUUAAGUAUACUGCCUCCGCCAUGGACAUUGUCCAAGUCUCUGGCAGUAAGUUCAGGAGGAGGGUGUGACAUUGCACUUCAUAUGCUUUAUAGAAAUAUGCUUAUGAAUAUGAAAUAACUGGAAUAUGCUUUAUGAUAAAUAUCCCUUGUAUGCUGUCAUUAGAAAACUUGUAAUCUACUAAGUGUGUUCAUCCUAUUUGUUUGCAUGUAUUAUUUCUAUAGCUGGAGU